GAAUCUUCAGACAACGUGCUAAGCUUCCCCUACGGGGCAAUUCCUUUGGAGCUACCUCUGUUGGAAUAACUAGAGAUUAGUAUUUACCUUCUUUAGCUCUAAAUUGGUAGCUAGAUUUACAGAACAUUGCGUCCAAAUAUUUGAGCUUCUGUUUAACUCUGCAGUGCGAGUUUCCUCUAUGGGGUGAUUUGUUUGGAGCUUCUUCUACAGCAUGAGCUUCCUCUGUUGGAAUUCGUAGAGAAAUAAGAGAAAGUUUUCAAAGGCACAUAAUAUACACGCACAUUUGAUUAUGCAUGGAUUCACACCGAACUAUACAUAUUAGACCAAGCAUGGAAAAGAAGCCAUGAAUGACUCUGGUGGUGAUAUGCAUGAAGCAUGAGAGCCUGAGUGUGAUAUGUAUCAAGUUAUUCCAGAUAGGGAUAUCAAAGAGAUUGUUGAUGACUUCAUGGACCGAGGUGAUGAUAUUCUUGAAAUUUUGGAGCAGAUAGUUUGCAAUGCCAAGGGCAAUGAUGAAUACAAUGAUAGAGAGUUUGCUAAAUUUCAAAAAUUUGUGCAGCAAUCGAAGGAAGAACCUUUAUACCUGGGCUGUGAGGAGUAAUAAACGUUGUUGCAUGUGGUACUCCUACUUUUGAAAUUGAAGGUAAUCAAUGGGUGGUCUGAUAAGAGUUUCACUGCCUUGUUACAAUUGUUAGCAGCAUUGCUUCCAAAUGAGAAUCUGCUACCAACAUCCACAUAUGAAGCAAAGAAGACAAUUUGUCCCUUGGGAUUGGAAGUGGAAAGAAUCCAUGCUUGCAAGUAAGACUGUAUUAUUUGUUCUGGAGAGUAUGCAGGAUUGCAUGAGUGUCCAAUAUGUGGAACCCCUCGAUACAAGCAGCAUAAUGAUGGGGGAUGCUCGAAGGAACAAUGGUGAUGUGGCAUCUUCCUGUAAUACCUCGGUUGAAGCGUUUGUUUGCCAAUUGUUCCAUUGGCACAAAGAGGGCCGUAAGAAUCAUUCAAACCUGCGACACCCUGUUGAUUGUGUGCAGUGGCAAAACAUCGAUAUGAAAUCCGGGGAGUUUCUCGCAGAA
Phragmites australis (common reed) is the source of this 1067-nucleotide long non-coding RNA. RefSeq lists it as uncharacterized. The transcript has 2 exons. The record is from RefSeq and is a predicted model, not a curated record. Lineage: Eukaryota; Viridiplantae; Streptophyta; Magnoliopsida; Poales; Poaceae.